UCUCUGGUGAGUCAGGACUAUGUCAAU
RNAcentral lists this non-coding RNA (27 nucleotides) under Homo sapiens (human). Lineage: Eukaryota; Metazoa; Chordata; Mammalia; Primates; Hominidae. The record is from RNAcentral.